This 447-nucleotide ribosomal RNA is filed under the name uncultured bacterium. RNAcentral's name for it is "bacterial SSU rRNA". It matches the Rfam family "Bacterial small subunit ribosomal RNA", at positions 355 to 825 of the family's 1533-position model. The record is from RNAcentral.
UCGGGAAUUUUGGGCAAUGGGGGAAACCCUGACCCAGCAACGCCGCGUGAAGGAUGAAGUAUUUCGGUAUGUAAACUUCGAAAGAAUAGGAAGAAUAAAUGACGGUACUAUUUGUAAGGUCCGGCUAACUACGUGCCAGCAGCCGCGGUAAUACGUAGGGACCAAGCGUUGUUCGGAUUUACUGGGCGUAAAGGGCGCGUAGGCGGUGUGUCAGGUCAGUUGUGAAAUCUCCGAGCUUAACUCGGAACGGUCAACUGAUACUGUCACACUAGAGUACAGAAGGGGCAAUCGGAAUUCUUGGUGUAGCGGUGAAAUGCGUAGAUAUCAAGAGGAACACCUGAGGCGAAGGCGGGUUGCUGGGCUGAUACUGACGCUGAGGCGCGAAAGCUAGGGUAGCAAACGGGAUUAGAUACCCCGGUAGUCCCUGAGCGGGCUGGCAAGGCGCAU